CAAUCAUCAUCAUAAUACAAGAACCUACAAUAAUGAAAGGAAAACAAGUCAAACAUAAAUCAUGAAUUGAUCAUUGUAAAAUGUAACAACUCAAUAAAAAACCAAACCAAUUCCACAGUUUAAUGUUAUUAUUCCAACUUUCCAUUUCAAAAUAAAAUAACUGGUAGUAUGAUGUCUGAUAUUGUAUAUAAACAUGUGAAGGUCUUGUUACUGUGUCUCAUCAGUCAUCACUACUUCAGUCAAAGCACCGUACACUGAUUGUUUGUUUACUCAAUAGUGAAUGGAUAGACGGUCUCCGAAAUAUGAAAAUUUCCAUUUGAACUCCCGACUGAUACAGUGUUAAGAAUUAAGGACUACAGGUAACAGGAUGACCCAAACACGAUGCUCUCAAAAACUAUAAGGCUCAGAGAAAAAAUUUUCAAGGACCCCUGAUCUUUUUUUGAAAUAAUAAGAUAGCAGAUCAUCAUCAUGGGAUGAAAUCUACAAAACCAGUAUUGACAUUUAUUUCACUCACCCUCACCAAAUCCAAAUUGUCACCCAUUAUCCUGAUGGUGUGACUGCCUACUACAACAGAAUACUUGUACUCCCCGAUACUUGCAUCGUUCACACUUAAACUGUGCAUUAGAGCCCUGGAAGCCCUCGCUGAGGAUGGCAACGCACUGUCGUCAGAUGCGGACGAGUUUAUACUCGAACUGGAACCAGUUAGUGGGCCCCCUGCCAUCAUACCAUGUUCUCUCACAGGGGAAGCAUUUCGUCGAAUGGUGUCUUCCAU
Harmonia axyridis is the source of this 772-nucleotide long non-coding RNA. RefSeq lists it as uncharacterized. NCBI's taxonomy places the organism in Eukaryota, Metazoa, Arthropoda, Insecta, Coleoptera, Coccinellidae. The transcript is spliced from 2 exons. The record is from RefSeq and is a predicted model, not a curated record.